Molecule: long non-coding RNA, 764 nt
Organism: Magnolia sinica
Lineage: Eukaryota; Viridiplantae; Streptophyta; Magnoliopsida; Magnoliales; Magnoliaceae
Exons: 2
Source: RefSeq, a predicted model, not a curated record
CUCAGUUUCGGGCUGAUACCCUAAAAUAAUAAUGAAAAAUGGAUUGACGGUGUGGAUGAAACCCAUACAUGACGUCGGCCACUCAGAUCCCCAGCUUAGCUGAGCUGGGACAGGCAGGGGUUGUACCGAAUCCGCGUCAUUUACAUCGGUCGUGGACGCGUUACCAACGCACCAUGGUCUGCCAACGCAUCAAAAAGGUUCUCGAAAUAAAAGGGAAUUUGGGAGAGUGAAGAAAUUCCAAAGAUCGGUCGCCGCACCAUUUCUUACAGGAAAAGGACAUUCUAUGGACACUGAAGCCCCCGCUACAGCAGUUUCUCAGGAACUCACUAGGGAAUCACUUAUUGCAAUCUCUCAGGCAGUUCCAGAUAAUCUUCUCUCCUCAAAACUGUUGCCCGACAACGUGACCAAUGUGAAUGUGGCUCAACCAAAAGAUAGUGAUGGGGCCGAAGAUUAUAGAUCCAAGCUGAUCUCCAUUUCGUACACGCAGUCCCCAGAUAAGGAAACCUUCCCAGCUUCACCUGGAAAUCUCAACCAUUAGCCACAAAAGCAGCUUAUGGCUCAUUGGAGAUUGUUGUAAUACACUCAUGGUUUGUAUUUUGGAACUCUAGUAAAUGGGCCACGCUACAUGUUUGGGUAAUGCUUUAUACUGUUGGGUUGUUAUACGUGUGAUGUGCCAAUAAAAGAUACCCUGAUAUGUACAUAUUUUAGGUCCAAUGGAAGGAUCUUUGAACAAUGAAUUUAAUCCACCAUCGCUUCAGAUGCCA